GACGAACGCUGGCGGCGUGCUUAACACAUGCAAGUCGAACGGAAAGGCCCUGCUUUUGUGGGGUGCUCGAGUGGCGAACGGGUGAGUAACACGUGAGUAACCUGCCCUUGACUUUGGUAUAACUUCAGGCAACUGGGGCUAAUACCGGAUAGGAGCUCCUGCUGCAUGGUGGGGGUUGGAAAGUUUCGGCGGUUGGGGAUGGACUCGCGGCUUAUCAGCUUGUUGGUGGGGUAGUGGCUUACCAAGGCUUUGACGGGUAGCCGGCCUGAGAGGGUGACCGGCCACAUGGGGACUGAGAUACGGCCCAGACUCCUACGGGAGGCAGCAGGGGGGAAUAUGGCACAAUGGGCGGAAGCCUGAUGCAGCAACGCCGCGUGCGGGAUGACGGCCUUCGGGUUGUAAACAGCUUUAGCCUGUGACGAAGCGGGAGUGACGGUAAUGGGUAAAGAAGCACCGGCUAACUACGUG
This 468-nucleotide ribosomal RNA is filed under the name uncultured bacterium. RNAcentral's name for it is "partial 16S ribosomal RNA". It matches the Rfam family "Bacterial small subunit ribosomal RNA", at positions 28 to 507 of the family's 1533-position model. The record is from RNAcentral.